Molecule: transfer RNA, 95 nt
Filed under: Streptomyces galilaeus
Lineage: Bacteria; Bacillati; Actinomycetota; Actinomycetes; Kitasatosporales; Streptomycetaceae
Description: tRNA-Val
Source: RNAcentral
GGGGCGCUGCGGUGGCGGCCGGGUCGGCGCCGUUGACGCCGGGGCGGGGCCGGGACCAGGAGGCGACCAGGCCGGGCUCGGGCACGGGUGCCUUG